CGGCCUUGCGGCGCUCGCGCUCGCGGCAUUCGCGGUGCCGCCGAUCGAGCAUGCACCGCGAGGGCGGUUCGACUUCGCCGGAUCCGUC
This 88-nucleotide transfer RNA is filed under the name Microbacterium hydrocarbonoxydans. Its description in RNAcentral is "tRNA-Ala". The record is from RNAcentral. Lineage: Bacteria; Bacillati; Actinomycetota; Actinomycetes; Micrococcales; Microbacteriaceae.